AUUGAACGCUGGCGGAAUGCUUUACACAUGCAAGUCGAACGAUGAACCUUAGCUUGCUAAGGGGAUUAGUGGCGAACGGGUGAGUAAUAUAUCGGAACGUGCCUUGUAAUGGGGGAUAACUAGUCGAAAGAUUAGCUAAUACCGCAUACUCCCUGAGGGGGAAAGUAGGGGAUCUUCGGACCUUACGUUAUAAGAGCGGCCGAUAUCUGAUUAGCUAGUUGGUGGGGUAAUGGCCUACCAAGGCGACGAUCAGUAGCUGGUCUGAGAGGACGACCAGCCACACUGGAACUGAGACACGGUCCAGACUCCUACGGGAGGCAGCAGUGGGGAAUUUUGGACAAUGGGCGCAAGCCUGAUCCAGCCAUUCCGCGUGAGUGAAGAAGGCCUUCGGGUUGUAAAGCUCUUUCGCAAGGGAAGAAAACUUACCAUCGAAUAAAUGGUGAGGCUGACGGUACCUUGAUAAGAAGCACCGGCUAACUACGUG
RNAcentral lists this ribosomal RNA (484 nucleotides) under uncultured bacterium. Its description in RNAcentral is "partial 16S ribosomal RNA". It matches the Rfam family "Bacterial small subunit ribosomal RNA", at positions 30 to 507 of the family's 1533-position model. The record is from RNAcentral.